UAAUACGGAGGGGGCUAGCGUUGUUCGGAUUUACUGGGCGUAAAGGGCGCGUAGGCGGUAUGUCAUGUCAGGGGUGAAAGGCCUGGGCUCAACCCAGGAACUGCCUUUGAAACUGGCAAACUAGAGUCCGAUAGAGGAUGGCGGAAUUCCCAGUGUAGAGGUGAAAUUCGUAGAUAUUGGGAAGAACACCAGUGGCGAAGGCGGCCAUCUGGAUCGGCACUGACGCUGAGGCGCGAAAGCGUGGGGAGCAAACAGGAUUAGAUACCCUGGUAGUCCACGCCGUAAACGAUGUGUGCUAGACGUUGGGGGCCUUAGGCCCUGAGUGUCGCAGCUAACGCGUUAAGCACACCGCCUGGGGAGUACGGCCGCAAGGUUA
RNAcentral lists this ribosomal RNA (376 nucleotides) under uncultured bacterium. RNAcentral's name for it is "bacterial SSU rRNA". It matches the Rfam family "Bacterial small subunit ribosomal RNA", at positions 521 to 896 of the family's 1533-position model. The record is from RNAcentral.